GUGGGGAAUAUUGGACAAUGGGCGCAAGCCUGAUCCAGCCAUGCCGCGUGAGUGAUGAAGGCCUUAGGGUUGUAAAGCUCUUUCAGUAGGGAAGAUAAUGACGGUACCUACAGAAGAAGCCCCGGCUAACUUCGUGCCAGCAGCCGCGGUAAUACGAAGGGGGCUAGCGUUGUUCGGAUUUACUGGGCGUAAAGCGCACGUAGGCGGAUUGGUCAGUUAGAGGUGAAAUCCCGAAGCUCAACUUCGGAACUGCCUUUAAUACUGCCAGUCUCGAGUCCGGAAGAGGUGAGUGGAACUCCUAGUGUAGAGGUGGAAUUCGUAGAUAUUAGGAAGAACACCAGUGGCGAAGGCGGCUCACUGGUCCGGUACUGACGCUGAGGUGUGAAAGCGUGGGGAGCAAACAGGAUUAGAAACCCGAGUAGUCC
Molecule: ribosomal RNA, 425 nt
Filed under: uncultured bacterium
Lineage: Bacteria
Description: partial 16S ribosomal RNA
Rfam family: Bacterial small subunit ribosomal RNA
Source: RNAcentral